UGGUUCAGUGGUAGAAUUCUUGCCUUCCAUGCAGGAGAUCUGGGUUCAACUCCCAG
RNAcentral lists this transfer RNA (56 nucleotides) under Loxodonta africana (African savanna elephant). It matches the Rfam family "tRNA", at positions 8 to 63 of the family's 71-position model. From Rfam's summary of the family: Transfer RNA (tRNA) molecules are approximately 80 nucleotides in length. Their secondary structure includes four short double-helical elements and three loops (D, anti-codon, and T loops). Further hydrogen bonds mediate the characteristic L-shaped molecular structure. tRNAs have two regions of fundamental functional importance: the anti-codon, which is responsible for specific mRNA codon recognition, and the 3' end, to which the tRNAs corresponding amino acid is attached (by aminoacyl-tRNA synthetases). tRNAs cope with the degeneracy of the genetic code in two manners: having more than one tRNA (with a specific anti-codon) for a particular amino acid; and 'wobble' base-pairing, i.e. permitting non-standard base-pairing at the 3rd anti-codon position. Lineage: Eukaryota; Metazoa; Chordata; Mammalia; Proboscidea; Elephantidae. The record is from Rfam by way of RNAcentral.